UACGAAGGGGGCUAGCGUUGCUCGGAAUCACUGGGCGUAAAGGGUUCGUAGGCGGUGUGGCAAGUCGGGAGUGAAAUUUCUGGGCUCAACUCAGAGACUGCUUCCGAAACUGCUGUGCUUGAGUGUGGGAGAGGCGCGUGGAAUUGCAGGUGUAGCGGUGAAAUGCGUAGAUAUCUGCAGGAACACCCGUGGCGAAAGCGGCGCGCUGGACCACUACUGACGCUGAGGAACGAAAGCUAGGGGAGCAAACAGG
RNAcentral lists this ribosomal RNA (253 nucleotides) under uncultured bacterium. RNAcentral describes it as "partial 16S ribosomal RNA". It matches the Rfam family "Bacterial small subunit ribosomal RNA", at positions 524 to 776 of the family's 1533-position model. The record is from RNAcentral.